GUGAGAUCUGCAGGAUCAGAGUCCUGGAGGUCCCACAAAUGAAGGGAGGUGGCAAGGUGGACUGAUGGCGAUAUGUAUCUGGCUCAUCUGACCGUGAGUAACCACGACCAAAACGUUUUCACUGCUUCCUUAGGUGCAGGACUCUCUACUUUUUAAAGACAAUGGUCCUUUCCAUUAAUGACCCACCAAGGAUGGAGAAGGACAGAGACCACAUGGCUGCGAUGAUAUUAGACCUCACCCUGGAGAUCGUCUCCUUGAUUAAUGGAGAGGAUUACACAGUAGUGAAGAAGUCUGGUGAGUGUGUGACACCCCGUGUGUCAGGAAGAUGGAGGCAGGACCCAGGACUUGUGUUGUCAGGUUCCUAUAAGGUGUCAGGAUGUUGCUAGUCUAUUUCUCCAUGGAGGAGUGGGAGUAUUUAGAAGGACACAAGGAUCUGUACAAGAACGUCAUGACUGGAGAAUCACCAGUCCCUCACAUCAUCAGGUUUCUUACGUACAGGACUCAACUUUUUAAAGAUAAUGGUCCUUUCCUUCAAGGACCCACCAAAGAUGGAGAAGAACAGAAACCACAUGGCUGCGAGGAUAUUAGACCUCACCCUGGAGAUCAUCUCCUUGAUAACUGGAGAGGAUUACACAGUAGUGAAGAAGUCGUCUGGUGAGUGUGUGACACCCCGUGUGUCAGGA
This is a long non-coding RNA of Bufo gargarizans (Asiatic toad), 683 nucleotides long. RefSeq lists it as uncharacterized. NCBI's taxonomy places the organism in Eukaryota, Metazoa, Chordata, Amphibia, Anura, Bufonidae. The transcript is spliced from 6 exons. The record is from RefSeq and is a predicted model, not a curated record.